Molecule: transfer RNA, 65 nt
Filed under: Aoria nigripes
Lineage: Eukaryota; Metazoa; Arthropoda; Insecta; Coleoptera; Chrysomelidae
Description: tRNA-Val
Source: RNAcentral
CAGAUUAGAGCUUGAUUUAUAAGCAUUUUAUUUACACUAAAAAGAUAAUUUUUAAUUUAUUCUGA